RNAcentral lists this ribosomal RNA (496 nucleotides) under uncultured bacterium. RNAcentral's name for it is "partial 16S ribosomal RNA". It matches the Rfam family "Bacterial small subunit ribosomal RNA", at positions 28 to 507 of the family's 1533-position model. The record is from RNAcentral.
GAUGAACGCUGGCGGCGUGCCUAAUACAUGCAAGUCGAGCGAACAGACGAGGAGCUUGCUCCUCUGACGUUAGCGGCGGACGGGUGAGUAACACGUGGAUAACCUACCUAUAAGACUGGGAUAACUUCGGGAAACCGGAGCUAAUACCGGAUAAUAUAUUGAACCGCAUGGUUCAAUAGUGAAAGACGGUUUUGCUGUCACUUAUAGAUGGAUCCGCGCCGCAUUAGCUAGUUGGUAAGGUAACAGCUUACCAAGGCAACGAUGCGUAGCCGACCUGAGAGGGUGAUCGGCCACACUGGAACUGAGACACGGUCCAGACUCCUACGGGAGGCAGCAGUAGGGAAUCUUCCGCAAUGGGCGAAAGCCUGACGGAGCAACGCCGCGUGAGUGAUGAAGGUCUUCGGAUCGUAAAACUCUGUAUUAGGGAAGAACAAAUGUGUAAGUAACUAUGCACGUCUUGACGGUACCUAAUCAGAAAGCCACGGCUAACUACGUG